CCUAUAGUCCUAUACGAGUGUUGUAUCUUAUCCAAUAGUCUAGUAUCGUAUUGUAUUGUAUCGUAUCAUAUCGUAUCGUAUCGUAUAGUGUAGUAUAAAUCUCGUAUAGGCAUUGUAUGGGCCUAUGGAUGUGGUAUCGUAUCCUAUAGUAUCGUGUUGUAUCGCAUCGUAUCGUAUAGUAUAGUGUAGUAUAAGUCUCGUAUAGGUCUUGUAUAAGCCUAUCGUGUUGUAUCGUAUCGUAUAGUAUAGUAUAAGUCUCGUAUAGACCUAUAUGGGACCUAUACGAGACUUAUACUAUACACUAUACGAUACAAUACGAUACCAUACUAUACGAUACAAUACGAUACUAUCGUAUCAUAUAGUGUAGUAUAGGUCCCUUAUAGGUCUUGUAUAGGCCUAUCGACGUAUACGGGCGUUGUAUCGUAUCGUAUAGUGUAUAGUAUAAGUCUAGUAUAUGGCCCCUAUAGGUCUUGUAUAAGCCUAUAGGCCUAAACGGGACCUAAACCACACCUAUAGUCCUAUACGAGUGUUGUAUCUUAUCCAAUAGUCUAGUAUCGUAUUGUAUUGUAUCGUAUCAUAUCGUAUCGUAUCGUAUAGUGUAGUAUAAAUCUCGUAUAGGCAUUGUAUGGGCCUAUGGAUGUGUAUAGUGUAGUAUAAGUCUCGUAUAGGUCUUGUAUAAGCCUAUCGUGUU
Molecule: long non-coding RNA, 691 nt
Filed under: Helianthus annuus (common sunflower)
Lineage: Eukaryota; Viridiplantae; Streptophyta; Magnoliopsida; Asterales; Asteraceae
Description: hypothetical non coding rna
Source: RNAcentral